AUGGGGUCUUCAAGUCUUGGGGGGUGUUCAUAUUGUGGGGUCUUCACGUCAUGGGGUCCUCACAUUGUGGGGGUCAUGAGGUCUUCAUGUCAUGGGGUCUUCAUGUCUUCGGGGGUAUUUUUGUCAUGGGGUCCUCACGUUGUGGGGGCUCUUUAUGUCAUGGGGUCUUCACUUUGUCAUGGGAUCUUCACAUCGUGGGGUCCUCACGUCGUGGGAGUCUUGGGGUCUUCAUGUCUUGGGGUCUUCAUGCCUUGGGGGCUCUUUAUGUCACGGGGUCUUCACUUUGCGGAGUCUUCACAUUGUGGGGUCUUCAUGUCGUGGGGGUCUUGGGGUCUUCAUGUCUUGGGGGUUCUUUAUGUCGUGGGGUCUUCACGUUGUGGGGUUUUCAUUUCAUGGGGUCUUCAUUUGUGGGGGUCUUCACUUGUGGGGAUCUUCAUAUCGUGGGGUCCUCACGUCAUGGGGUCUUCACAUCAUGGGGGUCUUGGGGUCUUGAUGUCACAGGGUCUUCAUAUCUUGGGGGCUCUUUAUGUCGUCGGGUUUUCACUUCAUGGGGUCUUCACGUCUUGGGGACCUUCACAUCGUGGGGUCUUCACCCCCUGGGUCCCCCCUUUGCCCACGAGGCCCAGUUUUUGGGGUCGAGGCCGGGCCGGGCCGCCAGAUGGCGGCAGAGCUCCGUCCUCGGCCUGGCCCCGCAUGGCCGCGCGAUGGCGCCGUGGUUGUGGGGCAGGCCCCGGGAGCCGGGGGGGGGGGGCACUGGGGACGUUUGGGACCCCCCCAAAAACGAGUUUGGGCCUCUUUGCUGGGGGAGGCCGACGGGCUCCCGAUGUUGAGUGCGAAUUAUGUGAAAAUGUAAUUAAAAAGGCGAAUGCCCGGGCCCUGUGUUGGCUGCCGUCACACGCCAACCCGCGGCCGUCCUUUGGCCCAAAUGGCCUCAAAGCGUGGUGGCAGCCCCCUGGAGGCUUUGGGGAGCACGAGGGACGGUACAAGGCCCCCAAAGACCCCCAAAAUGUCCAGCACAACUGUUUAGGUUGUGAACCACCACUUCAUCAAAAUCGCGUUCCUACAAGGCCUGGCUCCGUGCUGCGAGAGCUGGUUCCCCGCUGCAGCAAGCGCACGCUUAGGGUGUAA
Molecule: long non-coding RNA, 1128 nt
Filed under: Anas platyrhynchos platyrhynchos (common mallard)
Lineage: Eukaryota; Metazoa; Chordata; Aves; Anseriformes; Anatidae
Description: lncRNA (ENSAPLG00000029857.1)
Source: RNAcentral